UGCAAAAAUCUUAUCUUUAUGUGAGCGGGGCUACUGUGUUAUUAGGAGCACAGCAGUUCUUCUGCUCCUAACUUCCUAACCAUCAAUCAAGUUUGAUAAAUGGUUAGGAUAAAAGAGAAAAGAAAAAUUGGGUGUCUCAAUUUUUCUUCUCUUUGAAUUUUUUUCUAAUUAAUUUCUUUUUUCUUUCUCAUCCUAACCGUUCAUCAAAAUUGAUUGAUGGUUAAAAAGUUAGGGGUAUAAAAACUGUUGUGCUCAUAAUAAUACAGUAAUCCUACUCAACUUCAUGUAGUAAAAUUUCUUUUAUUCUCUUUUGCUGAAUGUAGGCUAUAAACAAACCUA
Molecule: long non-coding RNA, 339 nt
Filed under: Ananas comosus (pineapple)
Lineage: Eukaryota; Viridiplantae; Streptophyta; Magnoliopsida; Poales; Bromeliaceae
Description: long non-coding RNA (ACOM_LNC005047)
Source: RNAcentral